GACAGAGGUGCCGAGCGUUAUGCGGAAUCACUGGGCUUAAAGCGUGUGUAGGCGGGCCGUUAAGUGUCUUGUGAAAUCCCCCGGCUCAACCGGGGAAUUGCUGGGCAUACUGGCGGUCUUGAGCGAUCUAGGGGCAGAUGGAACAAGUGGUGGAGCGGUGAAAUGCGUAGAUAUCACUUGGAACGCCAAAGGUGAAGACAGUCUGCUGGGGAUCUGCUGACGCUGAGACACGAAAGCCAGGGGAGCGAACGGG
RNAcentral lists this ribosomal RNA (253 nucleotides) under uncultured bacterium. Its description in RNAcentral is "partial 16S ribosomal RNA". It matches the Rfam family "Bacterial small subunit ribosomal RNA", at positions 524 to 776 of the family's 1533-position model. The record is from RNAcentral.